This is an RNA transcript of Fundulus heteroclitus (mummichog), 712 nucleotides long. RefSeq lists it as uncharacterized. NCBI's taxonomy places the organism in Eukaryota, Metazoa, Chordata, Actinopteri, Cyprinodontiformes, Fundulidae. The record is from RefSeq and is a predicted model, not a curated record. The transcript is spliced from 5 exons.
AAAAAAAGAAGAAAAAAAUAAAUAAAAAAAAAUUAUUCCUCAAUAAAUCUGCCGUAGAACGACAUAAGUCCUAUUUGGUAUCUUCGAAUUGUUCAGGGAUACAUAGUUAGCAGUUACAAUGUUUCUUGCUACUUUAGCUACUGCGGCGCAUUUAGUGAUCAUGUUAACUGAUGCUGACUCUGAUGUAUUUCAAUGUUUGUGGUGCUUUUCACGGUUUCAAUAAUUGUAUCUCUUUCUCUUAUUGUUUGUGUACGUGUGUGGUUCAUUUUGGCAUUGCAGUAUUGACAUUCACCCCUCAACAAUAAGCAAUGGAUAGCGAUACGUCAGCAACAUUUGAGGAUUUGCAUGUACUGCACCACCACCCACCAUCCUAUGCUGACAAAAGGCAGGAUAGGAUACGGGCUGUCAAAACAAAAAAUGAGGAAAUGUGCCGCUUCAGUUGUAAGACAUGCUGGUAUUCUUGUUUAUCGAACGACUUCACUUCCUGUGUGUAAAAAUCAUCAGUAUGAGCUGAAGAGGAGAUCAACCCCAUCAUCCAGAGAUCAAAAGCGUUUUCUGUGACAGCUGCAUGUCCCACCCCACAGCCAUCAUGGAGGAGGUAGCAACAGAUGAUAUCUAUGCGUACGCUCUGUCCAAGACGCUGACAAAGGUUUCCUCACCAGCAACAGUGGGUCUCUACUCUUCUUGUCAGGAUCGACUGGAUGUGUUUCUC